AUUGAACGCUGGCGGCAGGCCUAACACAUGCAAGUCGAACGAGUGGCGGACGGGUGAGUAAUGGCUUGGCAACUGCCUGAUGGAGGGGGAUAACGAGUGGAAAAGGUAGCUAAUACCGCAUACCCUCGGAUCUGCCCAGUGGGGAUUAGCUAGUAGGUGGGGUAAAGGCUCACCUAGGCGACGAUCCCUAGCUGGUCUGAGAGGAUGACCAGCCACACUGGAACUGAGACACGGUCCAGACCCCUACGGGAGGCAGCAGUGGGGAAUAUUGCACAAUGGGCGAAAGCCUGAUGCAGCAAUGCCGCGUGUAUGAAGAAGGCCUUCGGGUGGUAAAGUACUUUCAGCGGGGAGGCGUUACCUGCAGAAGAAGCAACGGCUAACUCCGUGCCAGCAGCCGCGGUAAUUC
RNAcentral lists this ribosomal RNA (406 nucleotides) under uncultured bacterium. RNAcentral's name for it is "partial 16S ribosomal RNA". It matches the Rfam family "Bacterial small subunit ribosomal RNA", at positions 30 to 526 of the family's 1533-position model. The record is from RNAcentral.